RNAcentral lists this transfer RNA (68 nucleotides) under Eubasilissa sinensis. RNAcentral describes it as "tRNA-Met". It matches the Rfam family "tRNA". From Rfam's summary of the family: Transfer RNA (tRNA) molecules are approximately 80 nucleotides in length. Their secondary structure includes four short double-helical elements and three loops (D, anti-codon, and T loops). Lineage: Eukaryota; Metazoa; Arthropoda; Insecta; Trichoptera; Phryganeidae. The record is from RNAcentral.
UUAAAGAUAAGCUAAAUAAGCUAAUGAGUUCAUACCUCAUUUAUAUAGGUUCAAUCCUUUUUUUUAAA